GAUGAACGCUGGCGGCGUGCCUAAUACAUGCAAGUCGAACGAUGAACCGGGUGCUUGCACUCGGGGAUUAGUGGCGAACGGGUGAGUAACACGUGAGCAACCUGCCCCUGACUCUGGGAUAAGCGCUGGAAACGGCGUCUAAUACUGGAUAUGUCCCGUCAACGCAUGGUGUGCGGGUGGAAAGAUUUUUCGGUUGGGGAUGGGCUCGCGGCCUAUCAGCUUGUUGGUGAGGUAAUGGCUCACCAAGGCGUCGACGGGUAGCCGGCCUGAGAGGGUGACCGGCCACACUGGGACUGAGACACGGCCCAGACUCCUACGGGAGGCAGCAGUGGGGAAUAUUGCACAAUGGGCGGAAGCCUGAUGCAGCAACGCCGCGUGAGGGAUGACGGCCUUCGGGUUGUAAACCUCUUUUAGCAGGGAAGAAGCGAAAGUGACGGUACCUGCAGAAAAAGCACCGGCUAACUACGUGCCAGCAGCCGCCGUAA
This 485-nucleotide ribosomal RNA is filed under the name uncultured bacterium. RNAcentral's name for it is "partial 16S ribosomal RNA". It matches the Rfam family "Bacterial small subunit ribosomal RNA", at positions 28 to 523 of the family's 1533-position model. The record is from RNAcentral.